UACGUAGGGGGCUAGCGUUGUCCGGAUUCAUUGGGCGUAAAGGGUGCGUAGGCGGCGCGGUAAGUCGGGUGUGAAAUCUCGGAGCUUAACUCCGAAACUGCGUUCGAUACUGCCGUGCUUGAGGACUGGAGAGGAGACUGGAAUUCCUGGUGUAGCGGUGAAAUGCGCAGAUAUCAGGAGGAACACCGGUGGCGAAGGCGGGUCUCUGGGCCGAUACUGACGCUGAGGAGCGAAAGCGUGGGGAGCGAACAGG
This 253-nucleotide ribosomal RNA is filed under the name uncultured bacterium. Its description in RNAcentral is "partial 16S ribosomal RNA". It matches the Rfam family "Bacterial small subunit ribosomal RNA", at positions 524 to 776 of the family's 1533-position model. The record is from RNAcentral.